GGAGUCUGGGCCGUGUCUCAGUCCCAAUGUGGCCGAUCACCCUCUCAGGUCGGCUACUGAUCGUUGACUUGGUGAGCCGUUACCCCACCAACUAUCUAAUCAGACGCGAGCCCACCUCACACCGGAUUGCUCCUUUCACCUCAAAGCCAUGCGACUUCGUGGUCCUAUGCGGUAUUAGCACAUCUUUCGAUGCGUUAUCCCCCUGUAUGAGACAGGUUGCUCACGCGUUACUCACCCGUCCGCCACUCGGUUAUAUUCGAGCAAGCUCUCCUAUAACCUCGUUCGACUUGCAUGUGUUAAGCACGCCGCCAGCGUUCGUC
This 320-nucleotide ribosomal RNA is filed under the name uncultured Coriobacteriales bacterium. RNAcentral's name for it is "partial 16S ribosomal RNA". Lineage: Bacteria; Bacillati; Actinomycetota; Coriobacteriia; Coriobacteriales. The record is from RNAcentral.